GUCUACGGCCAUGCCACCUUGAAUAUGCCUGACUUCGUCUGAUCUCGGAAACUAAGCAGGGUUGGGCCUGGUUAGUACUUGGAUGGCAGACCACCAAGGAAUACCAGGUGCUAUAGGCG
This 119-nucleotide ribosomal RNA is filed under the name Pteropus alecto (black flying fox). The record is from RNAcentral. Lineage: Eukaryota; Metazoa; Chordata; Mammalia; Chiroptera; Pteropodidae.